Molecule: ribosomal RNA, 251 nt
Filed under: uncultured bacterium
Lineage: Bacteria
Description: partial 16S ribosomal RNA
Rfam family: Bacterial small subunit ribosomal RNA
Source: RNAcentral
UACGUAGGGAGCGAGCGUUAUCCGGAUUUAUUGGGUGUAAAGGGUGUGUAGGCGGUAAAUUAAGUCUGAGGUAUAAGUCCGGAGCUCAACUCCGGUUCGCCUUGGAAACUGAGUUACUUGAGUGCGGUAGAGGCAAGUGGAAUUUCUAGUGUAGCGGUAAAAUGCGUAGAUAUUAGAAGGAACACCAGUGGCGAAGGCGACUUGCUGGGCCGCAACUGACGCUGAGACACGAAAGCGUGGGGAGCGAAUAG